RNAcentral lists this non-coding RNA (149 nucleotides) under Nitrosovibrio sp. Nv6. Lineage: Bacteria; Pseudomonadati; Pseudomonadota; Betaproteobacteria; Nitrosomonadales; Nitrosomonadaceae. The record is from RNAcentral.
CCUGCCGUCCCAUCGGCAGUACCCUACGAGGUAUGGCGGUCCGGCAACGGCCCGUCUAAAAGCCCUCGGACAAUGCAACCUCCGUCGCAAGACGGGUGCCGGACUCGCGAGAGGACGGCAUGCCUGCCAGCAUCAAGGCGGGUCGGAGC